CGCACCUUUCCCCUCCCCUCCCCAGGAAAUCUCCAAGCCCUAGGACCUCCCCCCCUGGCACACGGAGCCCGCCGCCGCCGCCGCCACUACGAGCCAGAGGGCUCCUCCCCUCCUCCGCCGCCUCCCAUGCCGCGCGAAUCCCGCCGCCGCGACGACAAACCAGGGGGCUCCUCUCCUCCUCCGCCGCCUCCCAUGCCGCGCGAACCCCGCCGCUGCGACGACAAACCAGGGGCUCCUCCCCUCCUCCGCCGCCUUCCAUGCCGCGCGAACGCCGCCGCGGCGACGACAGACCAGAGCGCUCCUCCCUUCCUUGCAUGCCGCUCGAGCGCCACCGCCCCGACCAGGGACACUCUUGGUUCCACUUUCGCCUCCCCAAUGGCCAGCAAAUCCGUGUCUACAAAGAUAGGCAGGGAGUUCUCUUCACCGACCAUUGUGGGCCGACACGACCCGUCGCAGAUGUCUGCAAUGAACUCUUCCCCGGCCUCAUCCGCGAUCCCCCACCGCCGGCCGCAGACCCUGAGUCCAAACGCCCCGAGGAAGAUCAAAAAACGCCCACUCCAAACCCGCAAUAUGUCGAUGAUCUGCUGAACAAAGCCUAUGCUGACCACAAACUGCAGCUGGCUCAAAGGCCUAAGGAGUUGCUUGACAGUACAACACUGGUGGAAUCAUCCAUCACUAAUGCUGCUUCUUCCUCUCUGCCAGAGUCACCAUCGUGCGAGGUGCCAGAUAUCUUGGAAUCGGAGCUCAACACUACCCCCUCAUUGUCUUCAUGUGUCUUUUCAUUGACGUCUACUGGUCUACUUAUUAAAUAUUUUGUCAGAGUUGAUAAGGAGGGACGUUUUCAUACAUAUCCUGAUCGCGGUGGGGACCCUUUCAGAGUUUGCAUGAAGCUCAACAAGCUAUUGACUCACAUCAUGUUGUUGAGCGAAAUAACUUGUGCAUGAAUGGACUUUCAUCUAGGGAGAAGUCUGUGCGGUAUGCUUUAUACUGGCCUCAUGAUGGCACAAGAAGAAAUUCUGCAGCAGCCUUUGCUGCCAUGAAGACCCGUCGCCCUAAACAGGAAGUUAUUAAAGCUCUACUGGACAAGUACAACGAGGACAAUGAUCUUUUAGGGGAUCUUGCAUAUCGACUAGAAGAAAUAGUGAGAUAUAAACCAUGUUUUGACGGGAAAGACUGUGAUUAUAGGUCAUAUUCACAUUUGAAUAUGACCAUAAAGACUAAAGGAGCCGAUGAUCCCCGCAAGAAGCUGUAUUUUGCUGAAGUCACUUGUAUGAGAGGCGAACAUGAAGAGUAUGUGCUCACCUGUAUCUGCGCAGUUGAACCUGAUGCCAAUGGUGAAUGCCUUGUGUGUGGAGAUCAAAUGAAGCACCCCAUUGAUGCUAAAUACAACCAUGGUCGCUCCACGCCAAUCUUUAGAUGUUGUUCCCAUGCAGAUGCAAAAGCCUUGGGUGACGAGUUAAUUACCGUGCAUGAUGAGGCUUGGCUGGAAAAGGAGGAAGCUAGGGUGAGACGAGUGUUUGAGGAAGUGGCUGAGGAUAUCAAGAAGGAGAAAGCGGCGAAACUGGCCGAGGCUAUCAAGGAGGAGAAAGCAGCGAAGCUGGCUAAGGCUAUCAAGGGGGAGAAUGCGUUAAAGGAAGUGAAUGAGGCUACGGAGGUGGGCACCAUAGGGCAUGGCCAUGCAAAGAGCGCCAAGUAUGUAGUACCGGCUAGACGAAAAUGAGUUGCUUCUCAAUUCAUGGUUACUGUCGAUGGUGUCUCUUUCUCUCUCUGCUGCACGUACGGAUGGUUGUGCAAUGCGAAUGCUCAACACACCCCUUAGCAGACACGCUUCAGCAUGCUUUUGCUCAAGGCCCAAGAGACCUGCAGAGAUGACCACAUAUGAGAAUCCUUGGCUGAAAUCGCCGAAAUGUCUGGCUGAAACUAGUUAUACUAAAAAGAGGUCAACGGAGGGAGCAUAUAGGAAAAAGAGGUCAAACAUGCACACCAGCGGUAGGUGGAUUUGUCACACUUCUCCACUUAUCUCCCGCCUGCCCCUCUCGUACGGGUGCUCAGCGUACUCUUUUAUCUCCUUUCCUUGCAUACCACUGUGGUCGACGCAGCAUCCUACCAUGAAAUCUUCAACGCCAUCGGUCUGCAAGCAUCACCGUUGUUGGCUAGAACUGGCAGCCCGGCAAGAUCCGGCUAAAUUUCAUGUUUUAACCCUUUUUGUGUACUUUAGCUGGAUCUGACCCGGUUAGAUUUUUUUUCCAGAAUUU
Triticum dicoccoides is the source of this 2255-nucleotide RNA transcript. RefSeq lists it as uncharacterized. The record is from RefSeq and is a predicted model, not a curated record. Lineage: Eukaryota; Viridiplantae; Streptophyta; Magnoliopsida; Poales; Poaceae. The transcript has 9 exons.